ACAUGCAAGUCGAGCGGCAGCGCGGGGGCAACCUUGGCGGCGAGCGGNGAANGNGGNNNNUAACACAUCGGAACGCGUCCUGUAAUGGGGGAUAANCUGGNGAAAGCCAGGCUAAUACCGCAUACGUCCUGAGGGAGAAAGCGGGGGAUCGCAAGACCUCGCGUUAUAGGAGCGGCCGAUGUCGGAUUAGCUAGUUGGUGGGGUAAAGGCCUACCAAGGCGACGAUCCGUAGCGGGUCUGAGAGGACGGCCCGCCACACUGGGACUGAGACACGGCCCAGACUCCUACGGGAGGCAGCAGUGGGGAAUUUUGGACAAUGGGCGCAAGCCUGAUCCAGCCAUUCCGCGUGAGUGAAGAAGGCCUUCGGGUUGUAAAGCUCUUUCGGCCGGNNAGAAAUCGUACGGGCCAAUACCCUGUAUGGAUGACGGUACCGGAAGAAGAAGCACCGGCUAACUACGUGCCAGCAGCCGCGGUAAUACGUAGGGUGCGAGCGUUAAUCGGAAUUACUGGGCGUAAAGGGUGCGCAGGCGGCGCCAUAAGACAGAUGUGAAAUCCCCGGGCUCAACCUGGGAACUGCGUUUGUGACUGUGGUGCUCGAGUGCGGCAGAGGGGGGUGGAAUUCCACGUGUAGCAGUGAAAUGCGUAGAGAUGUGGAGGAACACCGAUGGCGAAGGCAGCCCCCUGGGUCGACACUGACGCUCAUGCACGAAAGCGUGGGGAGCAAACA
This 727-nucleotide ribosomal RNA is filed under the name uncultured Pseudomonadota bacterium. RNAcentral's name for it is "bacterial SSU rRNA". It matches the Rfam family "Bacterial small subunit ribosomal RNA", at positions 53 to 774 of the family's 1533-position model. Lineage: Bacteria; Pseudomonadati; Pseudomonadota. The record is from RNAcentral.